This 253-nucleotide ribosomal RNA is filed under the name uncultured bacterium. RNAcentral's name for it is "partial 16S ribosomal RNA". It matches the Rfam family "Bacterial small subunit ribosomal RNA", at positions 524 to 776 of the family's 1533-position model. The record is from RNAcentral.
UACGAAGGGGGCUAGCGUUGCUCGGAAUUACUGGGCGUAAAGCGUGCGUAGACGGUUACAUAAGUCGGGUGUGAAAGCCCCGGGCUCAACCUGGGAAUUGCAUUCGAGACUGCGUAGCUAGGGUGCGAAAGAGGAUCGCGGAAUUCCCGGUGUAGAGGUGAAAUUCGUAGAUAUCGGGAGGAACACCAGUGGCGAAGGCGGCGAUCUGGGUCGAUACUGACGCUGAGGUGCGAAAGCGUGGGGAGCAAACAGG